CACGAAGGGGGCUAGCGUUGCUCGGAAUGACUGGGCGUAAAGGGCGCGUAGGCGGAUGGCACAGUCAGAUGUGAAAUUCCCGGGCUUAACCUGGGGGCUGCAUUUGAUACGUGUGAUCUAGAGUGAGGAAGAGGGUCGUGGAAUUCCCAGUGUAGAGGUGAAAAUUCGUAGAUAUUGGGAAGAACACCGGUGGCGAAGGCGGCGACCUGGUCCUUGACUGACGCUGAGGCGCGAAAGCGUGGGGAGCAAACAGG
This 254-nucleotide ribosomal RNA is filed under the name uncultured bacterium. Its description in RNAcentral is "partial 16S ribosomal RNA". It matches the Rfam family "Bacterial small subunit ribosomal RNA", at positions 524 to 776 of the family's 1533-position model. The record is from RNAcentral.